RNAcentral lists this ribosomal RNA (778 nucleotides) under Curtobacterium sp. Its description in RNAcentral is "bacterial SSU rRNA". It matches the Rfam family "Bacterial small subunit ribosomal RNA", at positions 25 to 815 of the family's 1533-position model. The record is from RNAcentral. Lineage: Bacteria; Bacillati; Actinomycetota; Actinomycetes; Micrococcales; Microbacteriaceae.
CAGGACGAACGCUGGCGGCGUGCUUAACACAUGCAAGUCGAACGAUGAUGCCCAGCUUGCUGGGUGGAUUAGUGGCGAACGGGUGAGUAACACGUGAGUAACCUGCCCCUGACUCUGGGAUAAGCGUUGGAAACGACGUCUAAUACUGGAUAUGAUCACUGGCCGCAUGGUCUGGUGGUGGAAAGAUUUUUUGGUUGGGGAUGGACUCGCGGCCUAUCAGCUUGUUGGUGAGGUAAUGGCUCACCAAGGCGACGACGGGUAGCCGGCCUGAGAGGGUGACCGGCCACACUGGGACUGAGACACGGCCCAGACUCCUACGGGAGGCAGCAGUGGGGAAUAUUGCACAAUGGGCGAAAGCCUGAUGCAGCAACGCCGCGUGAGGGAUGACGGCCUUCGGGUUGUAAACCUCUUUUAGUAGGGAAGAAGCGAAAGUGACGGUACCUGCAGAAAAAGCACCGGCUAACUACGUGCCAGCAGCCGCGGUAAUACGUAGGGUGCAAGCGUUGUCCGGAAUUAUUGGGCGUAAAGAGCUCGUAGGCGGUUUGUCGCGUCUGCUGUGAAAUCCCGAGGCUCAACCUCGGGCUUGCAGUGGGUACGGGCAGACUAGAGUGCGGUAGGGGAGAUUGGAAUUCCUGGUGUAGCGGUGGAAUGCGCAGAUAUCAGGAGGAACACCGAUGGCGAAGGCAGAUCUCUGGGCCGUAACUGACGCUGAGGAGCGAAAGCAUGGGGAGCGAACAGGAUUAGAUACCCUGGUAGUCCAUGCCGUAAACGUUGGGCG